RNAcentral lists this ribosomal RNA (253 nucleotides) under uncultured bacterium. RNAcentral's name for it is "partial 16S ribosomal RNA". It matches the Rfam family "Bacterial small subunit ribosomal RNA", at positions 524 to 776 of the family's 1533-position model. The record is from RNAcentral.
UACGGAGGGUGCAAGCGUUACCCGGAUUCACUGGGUUUAAAGGGUGCGUAGGCUGAUAUGUAAGUCCGUGGUGAAAUCUCUGGGCUUAACCCGGAAACUGCCAUGGAUACUAUGUGUCUUGAAUGUUGUUGAGGUGAGCGGAAUAUGUCAUGUAGCGGUGAAAUGCUUAGAUAUGACAUAGAACACCAAUUGCGAAGGCAGCUCACUAAGCAAAUAUUGACGCUGAGGCACGAAAGCGUGGGGAUCAAACAGG